UACGGGGGGAGCAAGCGUUGUUCGGAUUUACUGGGCGUAAAGGGCGCGUAGGCGGCGCAACAAGUCACUUGUGAAAUCUCCGGGCUUAACUCGGAGCGGCCAAGUGAUACUGUCGUGCUAGAGUGCGGAAGGGGCAACUGGAAUUCUUGGUGUAGCGGUGAAAUGCGUAGAUAUCAAGAGGAACACCUGAGGUGAAGACGGGUUGCUGGGCUGACACUGACGCUGAGGCGCGAAAGCCAGGGGAGCAAACGGG
Molecule: ribosomal RNA, 253 nt
Filed under: uncultured bacterium
Lineage: Bacteria
Description: partial 16S ribosomal RNA
Rfam family: Bacterial small subunit ribosomal RNA
Source: RNAcentral